UGGCAAAGACCCAAUUUCAUACUUCAUAGUCAACUUAAAUAAGUUCUCUUUUUUUCUGCUCUCACCAAUGUCACUUUCUCCUUCUACAAUUUCAGCAUUACAUUUUCAGGGUAUCUCCAUGGUGAGGCGAGAUUCCGCAUAAUCACCGUAGAAUAUCCCACGUGGCUACCUUGACUCAACCGAGUGAGCUUAUCAAAAUCCCAUCGCAUGCUCCACCUAUAUAAAUAUAUACUCACAUAUUCUCUAACCCUUCUUUCGACAAUUCUCUCUCUGAAAAAANNN
This 282-nucleotide long non-coding RNA is filed under the name Olea europaea (common olive). RNAcentral describes it as "long non-coding RNA (OEUR_LNC002913)". Lineage: Eukaryota; Viridiplantae; Streptophyta; Magnoliopsida; Lamiales; Oleaceae. The record is from RNAcentral.